CAGAACCUGCUAGCGCAACGGUCAAACACGACCAUAUAUAACGUAUUCUUACAUAUCAAAAACUUUCCAAGCAACAUGAAACCUUCCAAGUGGAGCAGCUACUGAACGACACCAGAGAUAGGAGUCAAAGCACGCGGCAGAAAAGACGCGACCCUUCCAAUUAUCGCAGAGGUGCGAGGCGGCGUGGGGCCGUUUCUCAGACCCUCUCACAGCCCGGAUAACUGAGGUGUGAGCCGAGACUUUACAGGGUGCAAAACACACCUUAAAACAGAUGCAGGAGUGAGAUGCUUGACGGCCCUGGUACCCAUGGAAAACAGCUCAGACAUUUUGUUAAACAUCGCCUUCUGUGUUUUUACAAAAGAAAGUAAGGCAUGCAGAUUUGAGACGACAUGAGGCACAUCAUCCUGCAGAUAUGACACAUACAGGCAGACGGCAGCGCAGACAGACAGGCCACAGAAGCCCACGGCCUGCGGAGAGACACUGAGGUCUACCUGCUGCUGCUCGGGAGGGGAGACCGAGAGAAAGAGAGAGACAGACAGAACUGGAGCCAGUGUAAUGAGCUGUGAAAUUCAGCUGUACACACUCUAUAGCAGCACUGCAUUCAGUGACGCCACAAA
Cyprinus carpio (common carp) is the source of this 617-nucleotide long non-coding RNA. RefSeq lists it as uncharacterized. The record is from RefSeq and is a predicted model, not a curated record. NCBI's taxonomy places the organism in Eukaryota, Metazoa, Chordata, Actinopteri, Cypriniformes, Cyprinidae.